This 761-nucleotide ribosomal RNA is filed under the name Prevotella melaninogenica. Its description in RNAcentral is "bacterial SSU rRNA". It matches the Rfam family "Bacterial small subunit ribosomal RNA", at positions 28 to 776 of the family's 1533-position model. The record is from RNAcentral. Lineage: Bacteria; Pseudomonadati; Bacteroidota; Bacteroidia; Bacteroidales; Prevotellaceae.
GAUGAACGCUAGCUACAGGCUUAACACAUGCAAGUCGAGGGGAAACGGCAUUGAGUGCUUGCACUCUUUGGACGUCGACCGGCGCACGGGUGAGUAACGCGUAUCCAACCUUCCCAUUACUGUGGGAUAACCUGCCGAAAGGCAGACUAAUACCGCAUAGUCUUCGAUGACGGCAUCAGAUUUGAAGUAAAGAUUUAUCGGUAAUGGAUGGGGAUGCGUCUGAUUAGCUUGUUGGCGGGGUAACGGCCCACCAAGGCGACGAUCAGUAGGGGUUCUGAGAGGAAGGUCCCCCACAUUGGAACUGAGACACGGUCCAAACUCCUACGGGAGGCAGCAGUGAGGAAUAUUGGUCAAUGGACGGAAGUCUGAACCAGCCAAGUAGCGUGCAGGAUGACGGCCCUAUGGGUUGUAAACUGCUUUUGUAUGGGGAUAAAGUUAGGGACGUGUCCCUAUUUGCAGGUACCAUACGAAUAAGGACCGGCUAAUUCCGUGCCAGCAGCCGCGGUAAUACGGAAGGUCCAGGCGUUAUCCGGAUUUAUUGGGUUUAAAGGGAGUGUAGGCUGGAGAUUAAGUGUGUUGUGAAAUGUAGACGCUCAACGUCUGAAUUGCAGCGCAUACUGGUUUCCUUGAGUACGCACAACGUUGGCGGAAUUCGUCGUGUAGCGGUGAAAUGCUUAGAUAUGACGAAGAACUCCGAUUGCGAAGGCAGCUGACGGGAGCGCAACUGACGCUUAAGCUCGAAGGUGCGGGUAUCAAACAGG